CAGCAGAAAGGAAAUAAUAGGCUUCU
This 26-nucleotide non-coding RNA is filed under the name Mus musculus (house mouse). Lineage: Eukaryota; Metazoa; Chordata; Mammalia; Rodentia; Muridae. The record is from RNAcentral.